CCUACGGGCCGCAGCAGUGGGGAAUAUUGCACAAUGGGCGCAAGCCUGAUGCAGCCAUGCCGCGUGUGUGAAGAAGGCCUUCGGGUUGUAAAGCACUUUCAGCGGGGAGGAAGGCGGUGAGGUUAAUAACCUCACCGAUUGACGUUACCCGCAGAAGAAGCACCGGCUAACUCCGUGCCAGCAGCCGCGGUAAUACGGAGGGUGCAAGAGUUAAUCGGAAUUACUGGGCGUAAAGCGCACGCAGGCGGUCUGUUAAGCCGGAUGUGAAAUCCCCGGGCUCAACCUGGGAACUGCAUUCGAAACUGGCAGGCUAGAGUCUUGUAGAGGGGGGUAGAAUUCCAGGUGUAGCGGUGAAAUGCGUAGAGAUCUGGAGGAAUACCGGUGGCGAAGGCGGCUCCCUGGACAAAGACUGACGCUCAGGUGCGAAAGCGUGGGGAGCAAACUGGAUUAGAUACCCGGGUAGUC
Molecule: ribosomal RNA, 465 nt
Filed under: uncultured bacterium
Lineage: Bacteria
Description: bacterial SSU rRNA
Rfam family: Bacterial small subunit ribosomal RNA
Source: RNAcentral